Molecule: ribosomal RNA, 492 nt
Filed under: uncultured bacterium
Lineage: Bacteria
Description: partial 16S ribosomal RNA
Rfam family: Bacterial small subunit ribosomal RNA
Source: RNAcentral
AGUGAACGCUGGCGGUAGGCCUAACACAUGCAAGUCGAACGGCAGCACAGUAAGAGCUUGCUCUUACGGGUGGCGAGUGGCGGACGGGUGAGGAAUACAUCGGAAUCUACUUUUUCGUGGGGGAUAACGUAGGGAAACUUACGCUAAUACCGCAUACGCCCUACGGGUGAAAGCAGGGGAUCUUCUGACCUUGCGCGAUUGGAUGAGCCGAUGUCGGAUUAGCUAGUUGGCGGGGUAAAGGCCCACCAAGGCGACGAUCCGUAGCUGGUAUGAGAGGAUGAUCAGCCACACUGGAAGUGAGACACGGUCCAGACUCCCACGGGAGGCACCAGGGGGGAAUAUUGGGCAAUGGGCGCAAGCCUGAUCCAGCCAUACUGCGUGGGUGAAGAAGGACUUCGGGUUGUAAAGCCCUUCUGUUGGGAAAGAAAAGCAGCAGGUUAAUACCCCGCUGUUCUGACGGUACCCAAAGAAUAAGCACCGGCUAACUUCGUG